UGUUCCAUUGCUCACGAAGACAAGAAAGAAUACUCCGGUUGGAACUUUAUUGAAGCUAUAUGUUAAAAACAUCCUAAUGAUUGAUUAUGUACUUAGUUUGAAAUGUUUCUUCGACUGGUAAUAUCACUUUUUGAAUUUUUUGUCUGAUAUAACGCUGACCAGAAUUAGCGUUUGCUCUUAACAAAAGAAGGUAUUUGGACAUAAAUAACGGACAUUUUCGAACAAAACAAACAUUUAUUGUGGACCUGGGAUUCCUGGAGUGCUUUCUGAUGUAGAUCAUCUAAGCGUCCCCUCUAGGGAUCCAGGGGGAACAGCAGUCCCAUACAGAUGACCAGCAGAAGAAACAACAGGUCUCAUAUAAAGUGCACCCCUUCAACAACCAGGUGUCGUGCAUCCUGGGAUGCGGUUGGAGGUACAGGUGAAGCUGACAGGCUCCCAGAGGCAGGGCCAUAAAAUGCCCCAGCACACUCAACUGCCCCUCCCCUCUACAACAGCCAACAGCCCAGAACAGCAUGAAGACAGAACAUCUAAAAGAUCAUCUGGGAAUCCUUCCUUCCUCAUGGAGAUUUUUGAAGUUUCACUUUGAGUCAAGUUCUGGAUAUGUUGGAUCUAGGUGACUGCCCAGACAAGGCAUGCAACAUUGCAGUUAUCCCUCAAAAUGAGAAAAAUGCUGUCCUCUGUGAUUGUGAUAGCGAUGGGUCAGAUAUGGACUAUGAGGGGGAGACAGGCCAUUUGCCUGCCAGGAUUUUGAAUGCAUAUGCUGAACCUAUGCAAACAGAUCAUGACAGGAACAACGUUAUCAGUGAUGAUGACCCACCCAUCACCACCACCUCCUCCCCCAUCCACCACCCUCCCUCCCCCACCACCUCCACUGUUGAUAAUGAAGAGCCAACGGCCACUACCCGCCAGAGGGUCCAGUCCGAAGAGCCAAGGGCAAAGCUGCAUGUGGUCAAAAAUAAAGAUUGAGUGUUCAAAUGAUCGAAGAGGCCUGCCACUGCUGUGAUUCCAAAACACAUAGUAUACAGCCCAAAUGCUGUGAUUCCAGAACACAUAGUAUACAGCCCCAAUGCUGUGAUUCCAGAACACAUAGUAUACAGCCCCA
Long non-coding RNA from Oncorhynchus keta (chum salmon), 1102 nucleotides. RefSeq lists it as uncharacterized. The record is from RefSeq and is a predicted model, not a curated record. Lineage: Eukaryota; Metazoa; Chordata; Actinopteri; Salmoniformes; Salmonidae. The transcript is spliced from 4 exons.